UACAGAGGGGGCAAGCGUUAUUCGGAAUUAUUGGGCGUAAAGGGCGCGUAGGCGGCUUGGCAAGUGGAUGGUGAAAUCCCUCGGCUUAACCGAGGAACUGCCGUCCAAACUGCUUCGCUUGAGACCGGGAGAGGUGAGUGGAAUUCCCAGUGUAGCGGUGAAAUGCGUAGAUAUUGGGAGGAACACCAGUGGCGAAGGCGGCUCACUGGACCGGUACUGACGCUGAUGCGCGAAAGCGUGGGGAG
RNAcentral lists this ribosomal RNA (245 nucleotides) under uncultured bacterium. RNAcentral's name for it is "partial 16S ribosomal RNA". It matches the Rfam family "Bacterial small subunit ribosomal RNA", at positions 524 to 768 of the family's 1533-position model. The record is from RNAcentral.